AUACGGAGGGUCCAAGCGUUAUCCGGAAUCAUUGGGUUUAAAGGGUCCGCAGGCGGUCAAUUAAGUCAGAGGUGAAAGCCCAUCGCUCAACGAUGGAACUGCCUUUGAUACUGGUUGACUUGAGUUAUACGGAAGUAGAUAGAAUAAGUAGUGUAGCGGUGAAAUGCAUAGAUAUUACUUAGAAUACCGAUUGCGAAGGCAGUCUACUACGUAUAUACUGACGCUGAGGGACGAAAGCGUGGGGAGCGAACAGGAUUAGAAACCCUAGUAGUCU
This 274-nucleotide ribosomal RNA is filed under the name uncultured bacterium. RNAcentral's name for it is "partial 16S ribosomal RNA". It matches the Rfam family "Bacterial small subunit ribosomal RNA", at positions 523 to 796 of the family's 1533-position model. The record is from RNAcentral.